CCUGAUGGCUCAGACAGUAAAGAAUCUGCUUGCAAAGCAGGAGACCCAGGUUCAAUCCCCGGGUCAGGA
Molecule: transfer RNA, 69 nt
Filed under: Ovis aries (sheep)
Lineage: Eukaryota; Metazoa; Chordata; Mammalia; Artiodactyla; Bovidae
Rfam family: tRNA
About the family: Transfer RNA (tRNA) molecules are approximately 80 nucleotides in length.
Source: Rfam by way of RNAcentral